GACGAACGCUGGCGGCGUGCUUAACACAUGCAAGUCGAACGGAAAGGCCCUGCUUUUGUGGGGUGCUCGAGUGGCGAACGGGUGAGUAACACGUGAGUAACCUGCCCUUGACUUUGGGAUAACUUCAGGAAACUGGGGCUAAUACCGGAUAGGAGCUCCUGCUGCAUGGUGGGGGUUGGAAAGUUUCGGCGGUUGGGGAUGGACUCGCGGCUUAUCAGCUUGUUGGUGGGGUAGUGGCUUACCAAGGCUUUGACGGGUAGCCGGCCUGAGAGGGUGACCGGCCACAUGGGGACUGAGAGGCGGCCGAGACUCCUACGGGAGGCAGCGGGGGGGAAUAGUGCACAAGGGGCGGAAGCCUGAUGCAGCAACGCCGCGUGGGGGAUGACGGCCUUGGGGUUGUAAACCGCUUUCGCCUGUGACGAAGCGUGAGUGACGGUAAUGGGUAAAGAAGCACCGGCUAACUACG
RNAcentral lists this ribosomal RNA (466 nucleotides) under uncultured bacterium. RNAcentral's name for it is "partial 16S ribosomal RNA". It matches the Rfam family "Bacterial small subunit ribosomal RNA", at positions 28 to 505 of the family's 1533-position model. The record is from RNAcentral.